RNAcentral lists this ribosomal RNA (639 nucleotides) under Triticum aestivum (bread wheat). RNAcentral's name for it is "partial small subunit ribosomal RNA". Lineage: Eukaryota; Viridiplantae; Streptophyta; Magnoliopsida; Poales; Poaceae. The record is from RNAcentral.
GACUGGAGGGCCAAGGGAGCCGUCACUCCUGUCAAGGAUCAAGGCCAGUGUGGCUGCUGUUGGGCAUUUUCUGCUGUUGCCGCGACAGAGGGCAUUGUAAAACUGAAAACCGGGAAGUUGAUCUCACUGUCGGAGCAAGAGUUGGUUGACUGUGAUGUUCAUGGUCAAGAUCAAGGCUGCGAGGGAGGACUCAUGGAUGAUGCCUUCAAAUUCAUUAUCAAGAAUGGAGGCCUUACUAUGGAGUCAAGCUACCCAUAUACUGCAGCUGACGGCAAGUGCAAGGCUGGAUCCAACAGUGCCGCAACCAUCACCGGCUUUGAGGAUGUGCCUGCCAAUAACGAGGGUGCCCUUAUGAAGGCGGUGGCAAACCAACCAGUGUCUGUAGCUGUGGACGGAGGAGACAUGACGUUCCAAUUCUACUCUGGUGGGGUGAUGACUGGGUCCUGCGGCACUGACUUGGACCAUGGAAUUGCAGCCAUUGGAUAUGGAAAGACUAGUGAUGGCACGAGCUAUUGGUUGAUGAAGAAUUCAUGGGGCACAACUUGGGGCGAAGAUGGGUACUUGAGAAUGGAGAAAGACAUUGCAGACAAGAAGGGCAUGUGUGGUCUUGCCAUGGAGCCUUCUUACCCAACAAAAUAG